Molecule: long non-coding RNA, 3339 nt
Filed under: Homo sapiens (human)
Lineage: Eukaryota; Metazoa; Chordata; Mammalia; Primates; Hominidae
Description: HSALNT0189060
Source: RNAcentral
GUGAGCUGAGAACCCACUGCGCGCGGGACUCUGCUGCGCCUGCCCUCCCGGGCUGCAGAGGGCAGGACGCACCGCCAGCUUCUUUUCCAGCCCACAUUUGGAAGCAACCGGCACCCACGCAGGUUCUGGAACUUGCCAAGGUUCCAGGGGUUGAGCCCACUCCAUCCUGUCCAAAGGCAGAAGCCUCCUCCAAGUCCUGCACGAUCCGCCCUCUAACAUGCAAGCCCAUCUGGAACCUCUGGAAUCCUACUGGGCUUCUUCGCUCCCUAAAGUUUACAGACCCAGGGCAAAAUAGGGAACUGCAAAUCCAAGUGGCCCAGAGGUCUCUCCACCCCCACUCUGCCCUCUCUGGGCCUGAGCCUGACAGGAGAUUCCCAGCACAUCUGGUUGUACUUAAAUCAUCCAGCACUACUGGAGUAGGUUCCCUGCUUCUCUCCCUUCAGCCCCAGCCUCCUCCCCUUCCUACACCAGCCUUCCAGGUCUCUCCUCCAGGAUGCCUUCCCUAACUCAUCCAGCCUCGGUAUCUGCACCCCACCCUUGAACCUCCACCUCUUUGGGUCUGGAGUCUGCCAGGGUGUGGAAGGGAGGGUGUGUGCUCCGCAAGACUCAGUGUGUAGAAUCUCAUCCUUCCCGAGCAUUGGUCCUAGAUAGAAACCUUCCCUUCAGGUAAGGAAGGGAGCCAGCCAAGAGCCUCCCCUCUGCUCCCUUGGCCUCAGGGGUGGCUGUCUCCAGUUAUGGGUGUGUACAGUGGGGAGGAACAAGUUCAGAUCCAGGCAGAGCCAUUCCUUUGGCAACUCUUGCUGUCAGCCAUCUUCCAAAGAGCUUUGCAAAAUGUUAAAGAACAAAAGAGAAAUAAAUACAGAGAAUAUAGCAAGUAUAAAAAUGCACAGUCUAGGCCAGGCACGGUGGCUCACACCUGUAAUCCUAGCACUUUGGGAGGCUGAGGCAGAUGGAUCACUUGAGGUCAGGAAUUUGAAACCAGCCUGGCCAAGAUGGUGAAACCCCAUCUCUACUAAAAAUACAAAAAUUAGCCAGGUGUGGUGGCGGGCACCUGUAGUCCCAGCUAUUUGGGAGGCUGAGGCAGAAGAAUUACUUGAACCCCGGAAGUGGAGGUUGUAGUGAGCCAAGAUCACACCACUGCACCCCAGCCUGGCUGACAAAGCAAGAUUCUGUCUCAAAAAAAAAAAAAAAAAAAAAAAAGAAUGCACGGACUCUAAAGAACAAGUUUGUAACCUACCAUGACCUGCUCCACCAGGGCUCCAGGUUUGAAUGUUCAUUCAUUCUUUUAUUCAAUAGCAUGUACUGAUGCCUGAGUCUACUAAGUUCUAGGAACAGUGACUCAAGUAAGAUCCCAGGGUCAGUGGGGGACAGGAACAGGUGGAUGAACAAAUGCUGCAUGCUGUAAUGGACAUGAGUCAGGGAGACAGAGGGGUGCCAAGGUUGAAGGUCAGAGACCCUGGACUGAAUCCCACCUCUGUCACUUUCUGCACUGUCUCUGGGGAGCCACUUAAUCUUGGGGAGCCUGUCUCCCCACCUGGAAAAGGACGAUGAUGUGACCUCACAGGGUCGUAGUGGGACUCAAAUAAGAUAAUGUGUGUGAAAACGCCUUGCAAAGUGCUAAGUGAGUUGUUGCUAUUAUGAUUAGGCUCAGGGGCUGCCUAUCUGACACUCAUUUUUCUAAUGCCUCAACAGCUGUCUCUCUUACCCUCCCAGGGCAGGUACCACGUUGGAGAAACUUCUGAGGGUGAAGGACACCCACCCUAGAGUAGUGGGCAGUUAAGCUGCCCGCAUAGACACACACACACACACUUUAGUUACACAAGCAGAACACCUUUUUAUAAAAAUUCGAAAGGCAUCAUGUGCCUACAGCCUCAGUUACUCAGGAGGCCGAGGCAAGAGGAUUGCAUGAGUCCUGGGCAACAGAGUGAAACCCAUUUCUACUAUUUAAAAAACACUAAUAAGAAAAAAUAGAUAAGCAGAAAACAAAAAAAUUAAAAAUCCAACGCCUUUAAUCCCACCACCCAGAGAUAACCACCAGUAAUAUGUUGGAGUCAGUUAGCCGGUCACAGUGGUGGGGGGCCUGUGGUCCCAGCUACUCGGGAGACUAAGGUGGGAGGAUUGCUUGAGCCAGGGAGAUUGAGGCUGCAGUGAGCCGUGAUUGCGCCAAUGCACUCCACCCUGGGCAACAAAGCAAGACCCCAUUUCAAAACAAAACAAACAAAAAACCAUUUUGGAGUCAGCUAGAUAUUAUUCUAUUUAUCUCUCUCUACACACACACACACACACACACACACACACACACACACACACACACACAUAUGUAUAUAUAGAGAGAUCUCCACAGUGUUUUAUAAUAUACUUUUCUUAAUAGACAAUUUUUUUUUUUGAGAGGGAGUCUUGCUCUGUUGCCCAGGCUGGAGUGCAGUGGUGUGAUCGCGGCUCACUGCAACCUCCACCUCCCAGGUUCAAGCAAUUCUCCUGCCUCAGCCUCCUAAGUAGCUGGGAUUACAGGCAUGUGCCACCACAGCUGGCUGAUUUUGGCAUUUUUAGUAGAGACGGGUUUCACCAUGUUGACCAGUCUGGUCUCAAACUCCUGACCUCAAGUGAUCCACCUGCCUUGGCCUCCCAAAGUGCUGGGAUUACAGGCGUGAGCCACCGCACCCAGACAAUGGACAAAUAUUUUGAACAUCUUUUGCUGUCUAUAAUACGUUUAUACCACACAAUUGUUAAUGACAGCUUAAUAUUCCAUCAAGUGGACAUGUCUAAAUUAAUUUAAAAAGUUUCCUGGCCAGGUGCGGUGGCUCUUGCCUGUAAUCCCAGCACUUUGGGAGGCCAAGGCGGGCGGAUCAUGAGGUCAGGAGUUUGAGACCAGCCUGGCCAACAUGAUGAAACCCCAUCUCUACUCAAAAUACAAAAGUUAGGUGGGCAUGGUGGCGCACUCCUGUAGUCCCAGCUACUAGGCAGGCUGAGGCAGGAGAAUAGCUUGAACCUGGGAGGCAGAGGUAGCAGUGAGCCAAGAUCUCACCUCUGCAUUCAAGCCUGGGCAACAGAGUAAGACUCUUCUGGAAAAAAAAAAAAAAGUUUCCUUUGUUGUUGAUUUUUUUCCAGAAAUAAAAGCUUCAUGAACAAACCUGUAACUUCCACCUUUGUGCACGCGUCUAAUUAUUGCCUUAGGAUAAAGUUCUGGUAACCAGAGGCUAGGAAUGCAUAUUUUUAUCUCUGAGGAGCCAGGAGCCCAGGCCUCUGGGCAGUGCUCUCACCUCUCCUCCAGGCAGCCCUCCCAGACCUCCAGGGUUGAGUACAUCUCCCAUGGUCCUUUCCUCUCCAAGUAACUUCAUC